AGUUAUAUUUCUUCUCUCUUUUCUACCAAUUGCCAUUGCUUGACGUGGAAAAAAGAAAACGAAAAACAACGAACAAAAUGUGAGUUAUGGUAUCUCAUUACCUGCGGUCUGCUGAGUCUAUGGUAUCUCCCCUCUACGUUCCCUCUCCACUCUGGCUUUUGAACUAAUAGAUGUCGAGGGGCUGCCUUCCUAGAAUACCAUCCUGAUAAUUCUGUGGAACAUUCUAAGUGGUUUCCAGCUCCCAUGGACUUUAAUUCAUAACAGAAGAGCCUGAGAAUGUUGGCUGUUGGCCUCUUAUCAUCUGUGUGCAGAAUUGUCUCCUCAAGGCUGGGUCUGCUGAGGGGCUUGCUGCACUUCUCUCCUAAGGGCAAUGUUCCACAAUCAUCCAUCCAUUUCCGGAUUCCUGAACACUAGGAAGAGAAGACUGAUUAUGACUUCUAUGAUCAGGAAGUAGUUUGUGCAUUGGACAUUGGAUGGUCUCACCAGCUCCUUCCCCAGUUCACUUUGGUUUUUCUCUCCCCAAAGCCACGCCAUUCAGUGACUUCCACCUCUCACUCGGCCAGCUCUGGGUUGAGUCAGACUGGCAUGUCCUUAUCUCCAAACUACUGAGCUUGGCUUGAGAGGGCAUGACAGCUGCUCCAAUUUUGGGCUUGAAGAAACUGGCGUGGCAGAGAGUAGAGAGACCCGGGGAUACAGGCUGGAAAGGAUAAGUCCAGCCAUGGGUAAAAUCUUCCGGAUGUUUGCAGUCAUUGGUCUAAGAUCUGUGCAAUCAAGCUGUCCAAUCUCUGCUUGCCUGACAGCGGUUUCAAAGACAGAAUACCUGGAAGAGGACUCCGUGGCUCCAGGAAACAGUUGUGGAGCUGGGUAUCGGUGACAGCUCUUGUGAGCUACUAAGACUUAGCAGAGGGAAGGAGAAAAUGUCCUUCCUUCUUCCUUCAUCAAGCCAUGUAAAAAAAACUGGAACAAGAUGCUGUCUGUUCUGAUGAUGUGGGUGAGAAGCACCUGUCAC
Odocoileus virginianus texanus is the source of this 1009-nucleotide non-coding RNA. NCBI's taxonomy places the organism in Eukaryota, Metazoa, Chordata, Mammalia, Artiodactyla, Cervidae. The record is from RefSeq and is a predicted model, not a curated record.